UGCGUAGGCGGUCUUAUAAGUCUGGUGUGAAAUCUCCCGGCUCAACUGGGAGGGUGCGCCGGAUACUGUGAGGCUAGAGUGUGGGAGAGGAAAGUGGAAUUCCUGGUGUAGCGGUGAAAUGCGUAGAUAUCAGGAGGAACACCGGUGGUGUAAACGGCUUUCUGGACCAUUACUGACGCUGAUGCACGAAAGCGUGGGUAGCAAACAGGAUUAGAUACCCUGGUAGUCCACGCCCUAAACGAUGUAUAUUUGGUGUGGGCCAUUCAGUUGGUCCGUGCCGGAGCUAACGCGUUAAAUAUGCCGCCUGGGGAGUACAGUCGCAAGGCUGAA
This 330-nucleotide ribosomal RNA is filed under the name uncultured bacterium. RNAcentral describes it as "bacterial SSU rRNA". It matches the Rfam family "Bacterial small subunit ribosomal RNA", at positions 568 to 898 of the family's 1533-position model. The record is from RNAcentral.